AUUUCUGACAGGUCUGACCCAGAAAGUUCAAUCUCUGAUCUGCUGAGCAGCACUAGGGAUGGGCUCCUACGAGGCUCAUCCCCAAGACUGCUCCCUGGCACAAUUUGCUGCCAGUAGCAGAUACUGGUACCUAGAUAAUCCUUUUUGCUAUGCUGUCAGAAUUUCCUACAUCCCACUCACCUUUCCCCAGAUAGCAGAUAGCAAAUUCUCACAGAGCGGGGUCUGCCUGUCACAAGUUGCUGCCCUUCACCUUUGUCCAUCUCCUGGCCCUCAUAAUGUGGUGCUGGGGGCUGGCAAUAGCCACUGGGUGCCAUAAUACGCAGACACACGGCGGGACUAAGAGACAGUGCCAUUGUUAGUUUGGUGGGGUACCAUAGAUUUCAAGUCCACAUGCAUCUGCAGGGCCUCCAGCUGCCAUUAACUGUGUUCAGUGUCGCUGGACUGAAUGGAGGAAUUAGCUGGAUCAGCUUGGCAAAGAAGGGAUUUGGACACAGAUCUGCCGUCUCCCAUGAACAACAGACCUCCUUCCGCUGGGCAAGGGGGAAGCAUUUUGCGGGUUAAACAUCCAACACAUGGCAUAGCUGGCAUGUUUAUUGUAACAGCAGAUAGGGAAAGAGGAAAAGCAACAGAGAAAGUCCUUUGGCUCACAGGGUGAUCUGUGCCCUGAGCCUUUAGCUCCCUUUUACAGCUUCAAGCAAUCACUCUAAUGGGACGUAACUAGCCCAAAGGAGGACAGAGUCAUUUCAUGAUGCAUAGCGAUAACCUCUUGGGUUCAGACCAAAUAUUGCAAAAGUCCAUUAAUUUUGCAGUGCUGUUUGUGCUUCAGGUGUUAAAUUCUCUUCUCUAAGGGGCAGACAAUACUCUAUUUUGGCACGACACACACUGCAACAGCUGGCAGGAUGGGGGUGUUUUCCUGCCACUCCUGAACCAGCUGUGGGGGCACCAUCUUACUAAAUAGCAGCACUACAAAUCUUCCUGGUUCACCCAUUGCCUUUUUGAACAAGACCCUUCCCUGCCUCUCUGGAACACUCCUCAAGGUAAAAUCCUCCAAUAUGAGAACACCUAAACUCCCUCCCAGAUACUGUACCCCAAACCUCCUGCUGCACCUCAACCCCUGUCCUGUCCCUGGCCCCACCCCGGAGUCCAUCCCACUAGCUGGAGCUGC
Long non-coding RNA from Dermochelys coriacea (leatherback sea turtle), 1165 nucleotides. RefSeq lists it as uncharacterized. Lineage: Eukaryota; Metazoa; Chordata; Testudines; Dermochelyidae. The transcript has 4 exons. The record is from RefSeq and is a predicted model, not a curated record.